This 95-nucleotide signal recognition particle RNA is filed under the name Verrucomicrobium sp. RNAcentral's name for it is "signal recognition particle sRNA small type". It matches the Rfam family "Bacterial small signal recognition particle RNA". Rfam says of the family: The signal recognition particle (SRP) is a universally conserved ribonucleoprotein involved in the co-translational targeting of proteins to membranes. Archaeal SRP consists of a 7S RNA and homologues of the eukaryotic SRP19 and SRP54 proteins. Lineage: Bacteria; Pseudomonadati; Verrucomicrobiota; Verrucomicrobiia; Verrucomicrobiales; Verrucomicrobiaceae. The record is from RNAcentral.
UGCCAGGAGCGGCAAAGCGCUUGGCACGCUAACCCCGCCAGGUCCGAAAGGAAGCAACGGUACCGUGACCGACGUUGUUGCCGCUUCUGGUCUCU